This 253-nucleotide ribosomal RNA is filed under the name uncultured bacterium. RNAcentral's name for it is "partial 16S ribosomal RNA". It matches the Rfam family "Bacterial small subunit ribosomal RNA", at positions 524 to 776 of the family's 1533-position model. The record is from RNAcentral.
GACGAACCGUGCGAACGUUGUUCGGAUUCACUGGGCUUAAAGGGCGCGUAGGCGGAUGGUCAAGUCGGGGGUGAAAUCUUUCAGCUUAACUGGAAAAGUGCCUCCGAUACUGAUCGUCUCGAGGGAGGUAGGGGCAUGUGGAACUUCCGGUGGAGCGGUGAAAUGCGUAGAUAUCGGAAGGAACGCCGGUGGCGAAAGCGACGUGCUGGACCUCUUCUGACGCUGAGGCGCGAAAGCUAGGGGAGCAAACAGG